This 520-nucleotide small RNA is filed under the name uncultured Glomus. Its description in RNAcentral is "SSU rRNA". It matches the Rfam family "Eukaryotic small subunit ribosomal RNA", at positions 569 to 1089 of the family's 1831-position model. Lineage: Eukaryota; Fungi; Glomeromycota; Glomeromycetes; Glomerales; Glomeraceae. The record is from RNAcentral.
AGCAGCCGCGGUAAUUCCAGCUCCAAUAGCGUAUAUUAAAGUUGUUGCAGUUAAAAAGCUCGUAGUUGAAUUUCGGGGUCAGUAGAUUGGUCGUGCCACUGGUAUGUACUGGUCUUACUGGCUCCUCCUUCCUGAUGAACCGUAAUGCCAUUAAUUUGGUGUUGCGGGGAAACUGGACUGUUACUUUGAAAAAAUUAGAGUGUUUAAAGCAGGCUAACGCUUGAAUACAUUAGCAUGGAAUAAUGAAAUAGGACGUUCGAUCUUAUUUUGUUGGUUUCUAGGAUUGACGUAAUGAUUAAUAGGGAUAGUUGGGGGCAUUAGUAUUCAAUUGUCAGAGGUGAAAUUCUUGGAUUUAUUGAAGACUAACUACUGCGAAAGCAUUUGCCAAGGAUGUUUUCAUUAAUCAAGAACGAAAGUUAGGGGAUCGAAGACGAUCAGAUACCGUCGUAGUCUUAACCAUAAACUAAUGCCGACUAGGGAUCGGAUGAUGUUAAUUUUUUAAUGACUCAUUCGGCGCCUU